UAGGGAAUAUUGGGGCAAUGGGGCGCAAGCCUGACCCAGCAACGCCGCGUGAGGGAAGAAGGUUUUCGGAUUGUAAACCUCUGUCCUAUGUGACGAAGGAAGUGACGGUAGCAUAGGAGGAAGCCCCGGCUAACUACGUGCCAGCAGCCGCGGUAAUACGUAGGGGGCGAGCGUUGUCCGGAAUUACUGGGCGUAAAGGGUGCGUGGGCGGUUUUGUAAGUUGGAUGUGAAAUACCCGGGCUUAACUUGGGGGCUGCAUCCAAUACUGCAGGACUUGAGUGCAGGAGAGGAAAGCGGAAUUCCUAGUGUAGCGGUGAAAUGCGUAGAUAUUAGGAGGAACACCAGUGGCGAAGGCGGCUUGCUGGACGACAACUGACGCUGAGGCGCGA
Molecule: ribosomal RNA, 389 nt
Filed under: uncultured bacterium
Lineage: Bacteria
Description: bacterial SSU rRNA
Rfam family: Bacterial small subunit ribosomal RNA
Source: RNAcentral